GAGUUUGAUUAUGGCUCAGAACGAACGCUGGCGGCGCGUCUUAAGCAUGCAAGUCGAACGGUAAGGGAGAGCUUGCUCUCCCCUAGAGUGGCGGACUGGUGAGUAACGCGUGGGUGACCUGCCCUGAAGAUGGGGAUAGCUAGUAGAAAUAUUAGAUAAUACCGAAUGUGCUCAUUUACAUAAAGGUAAAUGAGGAAAGGAGCUACGGCUCCGCUUCAGGAUGGGCCCGCGUCCCAUUAGCUGGUUGGUGAGGUAAAGGCCCACCAAGGCAACGAUGGGUAUCCGGCCUGAGAGGGUGAACGGACGCAUUGGGACUGAGAUACGGCCCAAACUCCUACGGGAGGCAGCAGCUAAGAAUCUUCCGCAAUGGACGAAAGUCUGACGGAGCGACGCCGUGUGAAUGAAGAAGGCCGAAAGGUUGUAAAAUUCUUUUGCAGAUGAAGAAUAAACACAGGAGGGAAUGCCCUGUGAGAUGA
This 476-nucleotide ribosomal RNA is filed under the name Treponema denticola. RNAcentral's name for it is "bacterial SSU rRNA". It matches the Rfam family "Bacterial small subunit ribosomal RNA", at positions 9 to 472 of the family's 1533-position model. The record is from RNAcentral. Lineage: Bacteria; Pseudomonadati; Spirochaetota; Spirochaetia; Treponematales; Treponemataceae.